Molecule: transfer RNA, 74 nt
Filed under: Firmicutes bacterium AM10-47
Lineage: Bacteria; Bacillati; Bacillota
Also listed under: 1 other name
Description: tRNA-OTHER
Rfam family: tRNA
About the family: Transfer RNA (tRNA) molecules are approximately 80 nucleotides in length. Their secondary structure includes four short double-helical elements and three loops (D, anti-codon, and T loops).
Source: RNAcentral
CAAAGCGUAGCUCAGUGGUAGAGCACUUGCAACGCAUCUGCAAGAGGUCGGGGGUUCGAUUCCUUCCGCUGUUG